ACUCUCUAUUCUGAAGCACAUGUAGUAAAAUUGGAGUGAUACAUAAAAGAUUAGCAUGGCCCCUGUGCAAGAAUGAGAUGCAAUUUGUGAAGCAUUCCAUAGUUUU
This is a small nuclear RNA of Bison bison bison, 106 nucleotides long. Lineage: Eukaryota; Metazoa; Chordata; Mammalia; Artiodactyla; Bovidae. The record is from Ensembl.